RNAcentral lists this ribosomal RNA (498 nucleotides) under uncultured bacterium. RNAcentral's name for it is "partial 16S ribosomal RNA". It matches the Rfam family "Bacterial small subunit ribosomal RNA", at positions 30 to 523 of the family's 1533-position model. The record is from RNAcentral.
AUUGAACGCUGGCGGCAUGCCUUACACAUGCAAGUCGAACGGUAACAGGUCUUCGGAUGCUGACGAGUGGCGAACGGGUGAGUAAUACAUCGGAACGUGCCUAGUAGUGGGGGAUAACUACUCGAAAGCGUGGCUAAUACCGCAUGAGAUCUACGGAUGAAAGCAGGGGAUCGCAAGACCUUGUGCCACUAGAGCGGCCGAUGGCAGAUUAGGUAGUUGGUGGGAUAAAAGCUUACCAAGCCGACGAUCUGUAGCUGGUCUGAGAGGACGAUCAGCCACACUGGGACUGAGACACGGCCCAGACUCCUACGGGAGGCAGCAGUGGGGAAUUUUGGACAAUGGGCGAAAGCCUGAUCCAGCAAUGCCGCGUGCAGGAUGAAGGCCUUCGGGUUGUAAACUGCUUUUGUACGGAACGAAAAGCCCCGGGUUAAUACCCUGGGGUCAUGACGGUACCGUAAGAAUAGGCACCGGCUAACUACGUGCCAGCCGCCGCGGUAA